UAUUAUUUUAGCGGCGGACGGGUGAGUAACGUGUGGGUAACCUGCCUUUUACUGGGGAAUAAUCACUGGAAACGGUGACUAAUACCGCAUACGGUUCUUGGAAGGCAUCUUCUAGGAAAGAAAGGAUUUAUUCGGUAAAAGAUGGGCCCGCAUCUGAUUAGCUAGUUGGUGAGAUAACAGCCCACCAAGGCGACGAUCAGUAGCCGACCUGAGAGGGUGACCGGCCACAUUGGGACUGAGACACGGCCCAAACUCCUACGGGAGGCAGCAG
This 271-nucleotide ribosomal RNA is filed under the name uncultured bacterium. RNAcentral describes it as "partial 16S ribosomal RNA". It matches the Rfam family "Bacterial small subunit ribosomal RNA", at positions 85 to 354 of the family's 1533-position model. The record is from RNAcentral.